CAUAGACUGUGUUUUUCCUAUGGGUAAUUUUUAUAGAACCCCCUGUUCCAGUGUUAUACAGUUCUGUUUGUCUUUAGUAAGGUCCUAAGGGAACUCUAGUGGAAGAAAGUUGUCAUAGAAUAAUAAAGACAAGAACAAUGGCCACCACCCCACAAGCGAAGUGUGUUGAAAAAUCGAGUUUGAAAAACAGGGUGGCUGAACUGGAGACGAGUAAUGAUAUUACUCUAAAGCUAUCAUGCCUAUCUUUUGGUAAAGGUAUGGUUACUAUAACUGUCAGUAAGAAAGUCGGUGUUAAUGAUUUAUGGAAGUUGAUAGAAGAGAAGAGGAAUGUGAAGAUUCGUUCGAUUAUUAUAGUGGGAUAUAGAGAUGAUACUAAGAGAGAGGAUGGUAAGACAAUUAUCUACUGCAGUGAUGAGAACAAGAACGACUCUAGCCUGGAACAACUAGGUGUUGUAGACCAGGACGACGUUUUGUACUUACUGUGAUUAUAUUGAUAGGAUAGUUUGAUGGGUUCAACACACUUGCUUCCUCCUAUUUUGUUCUAUAUGGGGGUGGGGUGGAGAGGGGAGGGGUAAAUCUGAAGGAGGUUAAAUAUUAAUCAGAACGAUGUUAGGUAUUAUUAAAAUUUAUUGUAUCGAUUGUCUUCUUGUCUCUUGUGUAGGUGGUGAGGUUGGGUUAAAUUGUUAGAGUGGUGGGUUGAUAGUUGUUGUGUUGGUAAUAUUUAACCAGGUAUCAUAUACACCCCACCCCCACUGACCUCCUAAUACAAAACUACCUUAAUGCUGUAUAUAAAGCUGUAAUUAAAUAGUCACGAUUAUGAGAGUAUAAGUUGGCGUGGUCAGGUGGUAAUUAACUGACAUAAAGUAAUGGUCUCAUUCGUGGUUAUCUUGGCCCUGUUUCUCGAAGUCUUAACAAAAGAUAAAAAAAAAUCCAAUUUUAGUAGCUACUUCAAUGUUGAUUGACUCAGCACUAAAAUCAAUCUAAUAUUAUCCAAUCAAAUUACUAAAAUUUGGAUUUUAUCUUAGUUAAAAUUUUGUGAAACAGGUCCCAGGUGAUAUAGAAAAAUGGUUGUAGUCGUGGUUACCAGGUGGUUACAUUGUUAGACUGUUCUAGAAUAUUUUUCCAAGAUGUAUAUGAUUUAGGUUUGAACUUUCUACUGUAUAAUGAAUUAACAAUGUUUUAUAUUUUUUAUUCAAUAAAAUAUUUUAUAUCUAAUGUCA
Patella vulgata (common limpet) is the source of this 1220-nucleotide long non-coding RNA. RefSeq lists it as uncharacterized. Lineage: Eukaryota; Metazoa; Mollusca; Gastropoda; Patellidae. The record is from RefSeq and is a predicted model, not a curated record. The transcript has 3 exons.